This 801-nucleotide ribosomal RNA is filed under the name Microbacterium sp. Its description in RNAcentral is "bacterial SSU rRNA". It matches the Rfam family "Bacterial small subunit ribosomal RNA", at positions 623 to 1421 of the family's 1533-position model. The record is from RNAcentral. Lineage: Bacteria; Bacillati; Actinomycetota; Actinomycetes; Micrococcales; Microbacteriaceae.
GCAGUGGGUACGGGCAGACUAGAGUGCGGUAGGGGAGAUUGGAAUUCCUGGUGUAGCGGUGGAAUGCGCAGAUAUCAGGAGGAACACCGAUGGCGAAGGCAGAUCUCUGGGCCGUAACUGACGCUGAGGAGCGAAAGGGUGGGGAGCAAACAGGCUUAGAUACCCUGGUAGUCCACCCCGUAAACGUUGGGAACUAGUUGUGGGGUCCAUUCCACGGAUUCCGUGACGCAGCUAACGCAUUAAGUUCCCCGCCUGGGGAGUACGGCCGCAAGGCUAAAACUCAAAGGAAUUGACGGGGACCCGCACAAGCGGCGGAGCAUGCGGAUUAAUUCGAUGCAACGCGAAGAACCUUACCAAGGCUUGACAUAUACGAGAACGGGCCAGAAAUGGUCAACUCUUUGGACACUCGUAAACAGGUGGUGCAUGGUUGUCGUCAGCUCGUGUCGUGAGAUGUUGGGUUAAGUCCCGCAACGAGCGCAACCCUCGUUCUAUGUUGCCAGCACGUAAUGGUGGGAACUCAUGGGAUACUGCCGGGGUCAACUCGGAGGAAGGUGGGGAUGACGUCAAAUCAUCAUGCCCCUUAUGUCUUGGGCUUCACGCAUGCUACAAUGGCCGGUACAAAGGGCUGCAAUACCGCGAGGUGGAGCGAAUCCCAAAAAGCCGGUCCCAGUUCGGAUUGAGGUCUGCAACUCGACCUCAUGAAGUCGGAGUCGCUAGUAAUCGCAGAUCAGCAACGCUGCGGUGAAUACGUUCCCGGGUCUUGUACACACCGCCCGUCAAGUCAUGAAAGUCGGUAACACC